RNAcentral lists this ribosomal RNA (375 nucleotides) under uncultured bacterium. RNAcentral's name for it is "bacterial SSU rRNA". It matches the Rfam family "Bacterial small subunit ribosomal RNA", at positions 524 to 898 of the family's 1533-position model. The record is from RNAcentral.
UACGAAGGGGGCGAGCGUUGUUCGGAAUUACUGGGCGUAAAGGGCGCGCAGGCGGCCUUAGAAGUCAGAUGUGAAAGCCCCGGGCUCAACCUGGGAAUGGCAUUUGAUACUCUGAGGCUGGAGUACGGGAGAGGAGAGUGGAAUUCCCAGUGUAGAGGUGAAAUUCGUAGAUAUUGGGAAGAACACCGGUGGCGAAGGCGGCUCUCUGGACCGUAACUGACGCUGAGGCGCGAAAGCGUGGGGAGCAAACAGGAUUAGAUACCCUGGUAGUCCACGCCGUAAACGAUGUGCGCUAGACGUUGGAGGACCUAGUCCUCCGGUGUCGCAGCCAACGCGAUAAGCGCACCGCCUGGGGAGUACGGCCGCAAGGUUAAA